CCUACGGGAGGCAGCAGUGAGGAAUAUUGGUCAAUGGACGAGAGUCUGAACCAGCCAAGUAGCGUGAAGGAUGACUGCCCUAUGGGUUGUAAACUUCUUUUAUAUGGGAAUAAAAUGUUCCACGUGUGGGAUUUUGUAUGUACCAUAUGAAUAAGGAUCGGCUAACUCCGUGCCAGCAGCCGCGGUACUACGGAGGGUCCGAGCGUUAUCCGGAUUUAUUGGGUUUAAAGGGAGCGUAGGUGGAUUGUUAAGUCAGUUGUGAAAGUUUGCGGCUCAACCGUAAAAUUGCAGUUGAAACUGGCAGUCUUGAGUACAGUAGAGGUGGGCGGAAUUCGUGGUGUAGCGGUGAAAUGCUUAGAUAGCACGAAGAACUCCGAUUGCGAAGGCAGUUCACUGGACUGCAACUGACACUGAGGCUCGAAAGUGUGGGUAUCAAACAGGAUUAGAUACCCUGGUAGUC
This 460-nucleotide ribosomal RNA is filed under the name uncultured bacterium. Its description in RNAcentral is "partial 16S ribosomal RNA". It matches the Rfam family "Bacterial small subunit ribosomal RNA", at positions 338 to 795 of the family's 1533-position model. The record is from RNAcentral.